This is an RNA transcript of Pistacia vera, 2609 nucleotides long. It is a transcript of the gene named NAC domain-containing protein 82-like, with no coding region annotated. The record is from RefSeq and is a predicted model, not a curated record. The transcript has 6 exons. NCBI's taxonomy places the organism in Eukaryota, Viridiplantae, Streptophyta, Magnoliopsida, Sapindales, Anacardiaceae.
CUAUAUACCCUAACCAAGUUCUUUCCGCGUUCUUCAGCUCUCUUCACUCUCUCACUCUUUCUUUUCACGCUCUCUCUCUCUCUCUCUCUCUCUCUCCCCUGCUCCCUCGACACUCCUCUCCCGGCGCUCUCCCUCUCGGAUCUGCAUUGCACACCAAAUGUCUUUUGAUCCCUGCAAGAAAGAUACAUCUUUUCUGCUGUGUGAUUUUGGAUUUAUGAGCCGGGGGAGGCUGUGGUGUUCGCGCAGUUUCUUAUUUCGACAUUGGACUUGACAGCUUUGUCUGUUGAGUUAGUUCCCUCUAGUUUGUUAUUUAGAAUUUGCAAAUAGGCUAUUUGAUUUUAUUUUUCUUUUUUGGGGUAAUCAAUUUGUUACCUCCGAGUUAAGAAAUUAAGUACAAGAUCUUCACAACUUGUGAGCAAUUAUUGAAAGUUAUUGUAUAGUGAAACUCCCUUAUGAAUUUCUCUAUGGGGAAAGCAUCACUGCCUCCGGGAUUUCGAUUUCAUCCCACAGACAUUGAAUUGGUAAAGUAUUAUCUGAAGAGGAAGGUAAUGGGUAGGAAAUUCCGUAUUGAUGCUAUUGCAGAGGUUGACAUAUACAAGUACGCUCCUUGGGAUCUUCCAGCAAAAUCUACUUUGAGAAGUGGGGACUUGAAAUGGUAUUUCUUUUGCCCGCGAGAAAAGAAAUAUGCUAAUGGGGCUAGAAUGAAUCGCGCUACUGACUUUGGGUAUUGGAAGACCACAGGAAAGGAUAGGCCUGUUCACUACAAUAAUGAAGCUGUGGGGAUGAUAAAGACUCUGGUUUUCCACCGAGGUAAAGCUCCAAAAGGUGACCGAACUGAUUGGGUUAUGCAUGAGUAUAGAAUUGGGGAGAAGGAUCUGGCUAACAGAGGUGUUGUUCAGGAUGCUUAUGUGCUCUGUAUAGUUUUCCAGAAGGAAGGCCCUGGCCCAAGAAAUGGUGCUCAAUAUGGAGCACCAUUUAAAGAGGAAGAGUGGGAUGACGAUGAGGAUGAGGAUGUUGAAUGUAUGGAAGUAGUGUCUUCUGCUGUCCAUUCCAUUCCCGUACAUAACCAAAUCAGUCCACUUGCUGCUAGCUUGCCAUGUGUUUCGGAUGUUAUCCUACCUGUUAACAAUAUGCAUUCACCAACUCCAGAAAAUAAUGUUGUAUCUAGUGAGGUUGCUCCUGUUUCACAUGAGGAUGACAUUGACUCAAUGUUAGCUUACUUCACAGAAGAUAGCACUUUGGUUCCAAAUGAAAAUGGUCAAAUUGAGAAUCUUGGUCACCAGCAUAAUGAAAAUGUUGAAGCUUUACCCCAUUCGGAUGGGAAUGAUAUCUACAAUAACUUGGGAGAUUUGGUCAACUUUGGUAGACUUAGUGAAGGUGCAGGUGAUUUCUCCUUCAGUUACAAUGAUUACUGUUACCCAAAUCAAAGUUUCCUGGGUGAUAAUACUCCAUUUCUGGAGUUGGAUGAUCUUGAUGCCCCAUUGAAUGGCCCUGUUGAAGCUGGGACAUCUGAACUCAUCCACACUGAUGGACUGUCCUCUAACCAGCACUGUUAUAAUCCCGCACAAUUAUCCCUCAAAGAAAAUCUUGGAUUAAUUCAGUGUCCUUCCAUCCACCAUUACAAUGCCGAGCAAUCAUCCCUCACAGUAAAUCCAGGGUUAAGUCAGCGUCCGCCCAUGCACUGUCACAAUGCUGAGCAAUCAUCCCUCGCUGUAAAUCCUGGGUUAAGUCAGUGUCCUUCCAUGGACUGUUACAAUGCUGAGCAAUCAUCCCUCACUGUAAAUCCUGGGUUAAGUCAGUGUCCUUCCAUGCACUGUUACAAUGCUAAGCAAUCAUCCCUCUCAGUAAAUCCUGGGUUAAGUCAGUGUCCUUCCAUGCACUAUUACAAUGCCGAGCAAUCAUCCCUCACGGUAAAUCCUCAGUCAAGUCAGUUUCCUUCCGUGCUGCCAGAGCAGUACAGGUUUGAGGACCAAUGGGCUGCAUUUCCGAAGAGCUAACAAGAGGUGGAUCAUAUUUUACUUGGGGAAAAUUUCUGAUUGUCAGAACAGAUGUCAUUGAUGGAUUCCAUCAAACAAGACACGGGGAGAACAAUGUAGGAUUCCCUAAGCAUGUCUGUCUUGCUUCAGCUGCAAAGUGCCUGGCUCCUCUUCAUGGAGCAAAAGAUCUAAAUGCUCUGUUGUGUGCUUAUGGUCCUCCUCCAUUGUUGUCAAGGCCGAGGUGACUUGUUGGAGUUGGUUGUGGGUGCACUAACGACGCUUUGUCACAUAAGUUGGAGGGUUUCCCAUAUGCUAUAGAUACAACCUACUCAAGAGGUAGCUGGGAAUGGGAUCAGCUAUUUGCAGCAACAUGUGAAGCCUUGCCUCCCUUCGAAUUUCUGCUCUAUUUCAUAGUAAUCUUGAUAGAAUUUGUAAAAUUAAAUUGAAUAAGAAUCAUGGACUCAGUAUUACUUAAAAAGACUAGGAUUCACAUCUUUAUCUGGAUUGAAGGAUACCCAACGGUGGUAGUCAUUCUAUCAUAUGUGACUAAACCACCUGUUGUGGCAUCUUAAUAAGAUAUACCAAGCAUGAUAAAUUAGGAAACAAAUAAUUUUAUCCCACUAUUUAAAGAAG